UACUACCUAGUGACCGAUAGUGAACCAGUACCGUGAGGGAAAGGUGAAAAGCACCCCGGGAGGGGAGUGAAAUAGAACCUGAAACCGUGUGCCUACAACAAGUUAGAGCCCGUUAAUGGGUGAUAGCGUGCCUUUUGUAGAAUGAACCGGCGAGUUACGAUUGCAUGCGAGGUUAAGUUGAAGAGACGGAGCCGUAGCGAAAGCGAGUCUGAAUAGGGCGAUAGAGUAUGUAGUCGUAGACCCGAAACCAUGUGAUCUACCCAUGUCCAGGUUGAAGGUGCGGUAAAACGCACUGGAGGACCGAACCAGGACACGUUAAAAAGUGUUUGGAUGAGGUGUGGGUAGCGGAGAAAUUCCAAACGAACUUGGAGAUAGCUGGUUCUCUCCGAAAUAGCUUUAGGGCUAGCCUCGGAAGUAAGAAUGAUGGAGGUAGAGCACUGUUUGGACUAGGGGCCCAUCUCGGGUUACCGAAUUCAGAUAAACUCCGAAUGCCAUUCAUUUAUAUCCGGGAGUCAGACUGCGAGUGAUAAGAUCCGUAGUCGAAAGGGAAACAGCCCAGACCACCAGCUAAGGUCCCCAAAUGUAUGUUAAGUGGAAAAGGAUGUGGGGUUGCACAGACAACUAGGAUGUUGGCUUAGAAGCAGCCACCAUUUAAAGAGUGCGUAAUAGCUCACUAGUCGAGUGACCCUGCGCCGAAAAUGUACCGGGGCUAAACAUACUACCGAAGCUGUGGAUUGUACUUACGUACAAUGGUAGGAGAGCGUUCUAAGGGCGUUGAAGGUAGAUCGUGAGGACUGCUGGAGCGCUUAGAAGUGAGAAUGCCGGUAUGAGUAGCGAAAGACAGGUGAGAAUCCUGUCCACCGAAUAACUAAGGUUUCCUGGGGAAGGCUCGUCCGCCCAGGGUUAGUCGGGACCUAAGCCGAGGCCGACAGGCGUAGGCGAUGGACAACAGGUUGAUAUUCCUGUACUCGUUGUUUUCGUUUGAGCAAUGGAGGGACGCAGGAGGCUAGGAAAAGCAGACGAAUGGAAAUGUCUGUCUAAGCAGUGAGUUUUGUGAUGAGUCAAAUGCUUGUCACUUUAAGAAUGAGCUGUGAUGGGGAGGUUGAUCUUGAAUCGACCGAGUUUCUGAUGUCACACUGUCAAGAAAAGCUUCUAGCGAGAAAACAACGACCCGUACCGCAAACCGACACAGGUAGUUGAGGAGAGAAUCCUAAGGUGAGCGAGAGAACUCUCGUUAAGGAACUCGGCAAAAUGACCCCGUAACUUCGGGAGAAGGGGUGCUGCAUUUAUGCAGCCGCAGUGAAUAGGCCCAAGCGACUGUUUAUCAAAAACACAGGUCUCUGCAAAAUCGUAAGAUGACGUAUAGAGGCUGACACCUGCCCGGUGCUGGAAGGUUAAGAGGAGAGCUUAGCGUGAGCGAAG
This 1422-nucleotide ribosomal RNA is filed under the name Corethron hystrix. RNAcentral describes it as "partial Bacterial large subunit ribosomal RNA". It matches the Rfam family "Bacterial large subunit ribosomal RNA", at positions 471 to 1904 of the family's 2925-position model. Lineage: Eukaryota; Bacillariophyta; Corethrophyceae; Corethrales; Corethraceae. The record is from RNAcentral.